This is a non-coding RNA of Capsicum annuum, 106 nucleotides long. NCBI's taxonomy places the organism in Eukaryota, Viridiplantae, Streptophyta, Magnoliopsida, Solanales, Solanaceae. The record is from Rfam.
AACUCAUGGUUAGGUCAAUGUAUCAAUUUCUUCUUGAACCUUAGCCAUGCUUCAAGCAACGGUUCACCACUAGCUUUUAGAAAUUUUGUAAUCUCGUCUAUAAAUU